This 351-nucleotide long non-coding RNA is filed under the name Brachypodium distachyon (stiff brome). RNAcentral describes it as "long non-coding RNA (BDIS_LNC002893)". The record is from RNAcentral. Lineage: Eukaryota; Viridiplantae; Streptophyta; Magnoliopsida; Poales; Poaceae.
GGGCAGUCGUGCAUUUUUAUUUAGGGUUAAUUGGAUCUAUGCGACUCUCUAUUUCACCGGUUGGAAAUAUGUCAUUACAAAAACUUACAUGGAGAAAUGCCACUCUAACUUUCUUAUACCUCUAUCAAUGCCAUUAUUUAAAAUAAUACUCCUAGUUACAACGUUCAGCAGUACGUUCGAAUCAUCCGGGCGCCAUAAAAGUUUAAAAAAUUCAAAUUUAGCCCAAAAUUCAAUCUUCUCAGAAAAAUCUAUAAAAAUUACAGAAAAUAAAAAAUAGUAAUAUGAGUUCACCGUUGGGGACGGGACAUGAGGAGAGCGUGGGGAAUAAGAGGAAUAGAACUCUUUGACUUG